This 301-nucleotide unclassified non-coding RNA is filed under the name Glomeraceae sp. RNAcentral's name for it is "partial contains 5.8S ribosomal RNA and internal transcribed spacer 2". The stretch from base 1 to 71 matches the Rfam family "5.8S ribosomal RNA", at positions 84 to 154 of the family's 154-position model. Lineage: Eukaryota; Fungi; Glomeromycota; Glomeromycetes; Glomerales; Glomeraceae. The record is from RNAcentral.
GUGAAUCAUCGAAUUUUUGAACGCAAAUUGCGCUUCCUGGUAUCCCGGGAAGUAUGCCUGUUCGAGGGUCAGUAUUAACAAAAAAUCGGUUUGGUUGCAAAUUGUGACGUUUCCGGAGUUUGGGUCAUCUUAAUAUCCUUUAGGUUUUAAGAGGCUUAAAAUUGACUUUUUUUGCGCAGUUUAGAUGUACAUAAAUUCUUUUUUUUAUUCGUCUGUCUUAAUGCUCAAAAUCCUAUUAGAUGCGACCAUAUCGUGUGGUUUCGUGUCUAUAAAUUUUUCAUGAUUUGACCUCGAAUCAGGU